AUGGAUGAGGUCACAAGGGGUAUACAAGGAGAUAUCCCAUGGUGUAUGCUCUUUGCGGAUGAUGUGGUGCUAGUUGACGAUAGUCGGACGGGGGUAAAUAGGAAGUUAGAGUUAUGGAGACAAACCUUGGAGUCGAAAGGGUUUAGGCUUAGUAGAACUAAAACCGAGUACAUGAUGUGCGGUUUCAGUACUACUAGCUGUGAGGAGGAGGAGGUUAGCCUUGAUGGCCAGGUGGUACCUCGGAAGGACACCUUUCGGUAUUUGGGGUCAAUGUUGCAGGAGGAUGGGGGUAUUGAUGAAGAUGUGAACCAUCGAAUCAAAGCCGGAUGGAUGAAGUGGCGCCAAGCUUCUGGCAUUCUCUGUGACAAGAGAGUGCCACAAAAGCUAAAAGGCAAGUUCUACAGGACGGCGGUUCGACCCGCAAUGUUGUAUGGCGCGGAGUGUUGGCCGACUAAAAGGCGACAUGUUCAACAGUUAGGUGUGGCGGAGAUGCGUAUGUUGAGAUGGAUGUGUGGCCACACGAAGAAGGAUCGAGUCCGGAAUGAUGAUAUACGAGAUAGAGUUGGGGUAGCACCAAUUGAGGAGAAGCUUGUCCAACAUCGUUUGAGAUGGUUUGGGCAUAUUCAGCGCAGGCCUCCAGAAGCUCCAGUGCAUAGCGGACGGCUAAAGCGUGCGGAGAAUGUCAAGAGAGGGCGGGGUCGACCGAUUUUGACAUGGGAGGAGUCCGUUAAGAGAGACCUGAAGGAUUGGAGUAUCGACAAAGAGCUAGCUAUGGACAGGGGUGCGUGGAAGCUUGCUAUCCAUGUGCCAGAGCCAUGA
This 819-nucleotide ribosomal RNA is filed under the name Triticum aestivum (bread wheat). RNAcentral describes it as "partial small subunit ribosomal RNA". The record is from RNAcentral. Lineage: Eukaryota; Viridiplantae; Streptophyta; Magnoliopsida; Poales; Poaceae.